Long non-coding RNA from Sphaeramia orbicularis (orbiculate cardinalfish), 2034 nucleotides. RefSeq lists it as uncharacterized. Lineage: Eukaryota; Metazoa; Chordata; Actinopteri; Kurtiformes; Apogonidae. The transcript is spliced from 3 exons. The record is from RefSeq and is a predicted model, not a curated record.
GCUUAGCCCUGGUAGCUUUGCCCAGUUAGCUUACCACCGUUAGCUUAGCUCUGUUUUCUGUUGGUUCAUGUAGUCAAUAACUGAACUAAAGAUAGAGGUAGAAACUGUCCCAGUUUAGUCUGAGCCACGGACCAACAAACGGAAACUUAGCAACGAUAAGAACAUCCCAUAAUAACAGUGUACCUUCAUAAACCUCUGAAUCCAACUCCAUUCUGUUCAUUUCCAUCUGAGUCCAGAGAAAACAACCACUGGAGUUUAAACACUGACUCUGACAGUUGGUUCUUUAUGGUUCUCAUGGUUAACUUGACCUUCAGUAACUCACUGCUCCCUCUAGUGGUCACAUUAAACACAUAAUUGGACAUAUUUGUAUAAUCCAAACAUGGGCACCUUUAGCAGAACUUCACAGACCUUUAUUCGAAACACUACGAUUAGAAUUUGAAGUCGUUUUUUUUUUUUUUUUUUAUAUUUUUGAAAAUAAAAACACGACAUAUCAACGCUUUAAAAUCUAUUUUACACUUAAAAACGGGUCAGUUUUUACAGGUUUUCAUCAAACUCACAACUACGACUAGUUGAAUCACUUCUGUUCUUUGACUGACAGUUGUGUCUUUAUGGUUCUCAUCCUCGGCUCACUACUCCCUCUAGUGGUCACAUUAAUCCUCCGGUUCUUCAACGGAACUAAAUUCUGUUCAUUUCUGUUCGAUCCGAUACAUCGGCAGAACUUCACAGAUGUUAUUUUCAUUUUUUUUAAUAAUUAAAAAUACGAACUCUACGUGUCGACGACUCUUCAUGAAAACUUUGAAGACGAAGAGUUGUGGAUUUUUCCUGAACUCGUUGAUGAGCUGAACUCGGGCUGAACUCGACCGUCAUCGCAUUAAAAACUGAUCAAAGACGAAGCGAAAACCCACACAUGCAUCUAUUUUUCAUGCGGAAAAGGAGGAAACUUUGACAAACGACUGAAAAAAAAAAAAAAAAAAAAAAACCAUCUCUGAAGCUUUGAAGUGAAGCUGCUGAUGGAACGUCAACGCUCCGAUCGGGAACCGCCGUCCGUUCUCCAUAAACAUGUGGAAAACUGCAGCGAAAACGCCUCCUGGAAACACGGAGGCGUUGAAGUUGCCGCGGUAACGUCAGGUCAGGUGACAAAGGCUCAUUAAGAGAUGACUGACAGGUAAUUUACACUGAAACCAGCCAAUGAGGAGCCAGCACUGGUUGUCAUGGCAACAGAGGCCUAAAGUUUCUACAUGUACCUGCAGUGAUACUGACAGAGUCUGAUGAAGAAAAGAAAGAGAAGAAAAAAGAAAAGAGAAGAAAAAAGAAAAGAGAAGAAAAAGAGAGACAAGAGAAGAUGAGAAGAAAAGAGAGAAAACAGAAAUGAAAGAAAAGAAAAAGGAGAGAAAACAGAAGAAAGGGUGGAGGGUAAAACUCUUCAGCUGCUUCAGUCUGGUCGCUGUCGUCCUCUUCAGUUUCAGAACUUCCUCUGCCCUUCAAAAUAAAAGCACAUGUUGUAAAACUGCAGCUGGAGUUCAUUUAGAUUUAUUUUAAUAAAUUCAUUUGUUUUUUUUUCUCCGUAAAAUGUUUCAGGAUGAAUUUAGAAAAACCAUGCAGUUAAAAAUAUUCAAGACGGAAAUAAAGGAACAGAAAGAGUAGAAGAAGAAAAAGGAGGCGGGAAAUAAUGAGUGGGCAUGGCCACCACAUGUGGGCGGGGCUUGUCCAUUUUCCAGGUCGACACAGAAGACGCAGACUCAGCGUUUAUUGACUCAAACAUUUUCAUUUACAUUUUCAUUCUGUUUCAGUUCAUCUUAAAAAAAAAAAAGUUCAGUAAAAAGAAACAAAUAAAAAUAUCUUCAACUGUUUCACGUCUCGUCGGUAAAAAAAACAACAAAAAAAAACAGAUUCUUUUUCUCUUUUACACACGAAACAAAGUGACUUAAAAACACUUUUCAUGCAGAAACGUUAAAAAAGAGCCUGAGAAAGAAGGAAACAGUGGGAAACAUCAGAAACUCUUCCAUCUCUGAUUCCACCAGAUGAUGUUUUAUC